CAAGUCGAGCGGACAGAUGGGAGCUUGCUCCCUGAGUGUUAGCGGCGGACGGGUGAGUAACACGUGGGUAACCUGCCUGUAAGACUGGGAUAACUCCGGGAAACCGGGGCUAAUACCGGAUGCUUGUUUGAACCGCAUGGUUCAAACAUAAAAGGUGGCUUCGGCUACCACUUACAGAUGGACCCGCGGCGCAUUAGCUAGUUGGUGAGGUAAUGGCUCACCAAGGCAACGAUGCGUAGCCGACCUGAGAGGGUGAUCGGCCACACUGGGACUGAGACACGGCCCAGACUCCUACGGGAGGCAGCAGUAGGGAAUCUUCCGCAAUGGACGAAAGUCUGACGGAGCAACGCCGCGUGAGUGAUGAAGGUUUUCGGAUCGUAAAGCUCUGUUGUUAGGGAAGAACAAGUGCCGUUCAAAUAGGGCGGCACCUUGACGGUACCUAACCAGAAAGCCACGGCUAACUACGUGCCAGCAGCCGCGGUAAUACGUAGGUGGCAAGCGUUGUCCGGAAUUAUUGGGCGUAAAGGGCUCGCAGGCGGUUUCUUAAGUCUGAUGUGAAAGCCCCCGGCUCAACCGGGGAGGGUCAUUGGAAACUGGGGAACUUGAGUGCAGAAAAGGAGAGUGGAAUUCCACGUGUAGCGGUGAAAUGCGUAAAGAUGUGGAGGAACACCAGUGGCGAAGGCGACUCUCUGGUCUGUAACUGACGCUAAGGAGCGAAAGCGUGGGGAGCGAACAGGAUUAGAUACCCUGGUAGUCCACGCCGUAAACGAUGAGUGCUAAGUGUUAGGGGGUUUCCGCCCCUUAAUGCUGCAGCUAACGCAUUAGGCA
Molecule: ribosomal RNA, 828 nt
Filed under: Bacillus sp. I16
Lineage: Bacteria; Bacillati; Bacillota; Bacilli; Caryophanales; Bacillaceae
Description: bacterial SSU rRNA
Rfam family: Bacterial small subunit ribosomal RNA
Source: RNAcentral